UUAAGCAUAUCAAUAAGCGGAGGAAAAGAAACCAACAGGGAUUGCCUCAGUAACGGCGAGUGAAGCGGCACAAGCUCAAAUUUGAAAUCUGGCCCUCUCAGGGUCCGAGUUGUAAUUUGUAGAAGAUGUUUCGGGUGUGGCCCCGGUCUAAGUUCCUUGGAACAGGACGUCAUAGAGGGUGAGAAUCCCGUAUGUGACUGGGUGCCUAUGCCCAUGUGAAACUCUUUCGACGAGUCGAGUUGUUUGGGAAUGCAGCUCAAAAUGGGUGGUAAAUUUCAUCUAAAGCUAAAUAUUGGCCAGAGACCGAUAGCGCACAAGUAGAGUGAUCGAAAGAUGAAAAGCACUUUGGAAAGAGAGUUAAACAGUACGUGAAAUUGUUGAAAGGGAAGCGCUUGCAAUCAGACUUGCGCCUGGGCGAUCAUCCGGGGUUCUCCCCGGUGCACUCGUCCAGGCUCAGGCCAGCAUCGGUUUCUGUGGCUGGAUAAAGGCCUUGGGAAUGUGGCCCCUCUCGAGGGGUGUUAUAGCCCUCGGUGCAAUGCAGCCUACGGGGACCGAGGACCGCGCUUCGGCUAGGAUGCUGGCGUAAUGGUUGUAAGCGACCCGUCUUGAAACACGGACCAAGGAGUCUAACAUCUAUGCGAGUGUUUGGGUGUCAAACCCAUCCGCGUAAUGAAAGUGAACGGAGGUGAGAACCCUCAAGGGUGCAUCAUCGACCGAUCCUGAUGUCUUCGGAUGGAUUUGAGUAAGAGCAUAGCUGUUGGGACCCGAAAGAUGGUGAACUAUGCGUGAAUAGGGUGAAGCCAGAGGAAACUCUGGUGGAGGCUCGCAGCGGUUCUGACGUGCAAAUCGAUCGUCAAAUUUGCGUAUAGGGGCGAAAGACUAAUCGAACCAUCUAGUAGCUGGUUCCUGCCGAA
RNAcentral lists this ribosomal RNA (914 nucleotides) under Chlorencoelia versiformis. RNAcentral describes it as "LSU rRNA". It matches the Rfam family "Eukaryotic large subunit ribosomal RNA", at positions 34 to 965 of the family's 3401-position model. The record is from RNAcentral. Lineage: Eukaryota; Fungi; Ascomycota; Leotiomycetes; Helotiales; Cenangiaceae.